GUACCCGCUGAACUUAA
This 17-nucleotide ribosomal RNA is filed under the name Rhizopus reflexus. RNAcentral's name for it is "Rhizopus stolonifer var. reflexus partial 28S ribosomal RNA". Lineage: Eukaryota; Fungi; Mucoromycota; Mucoromycetes; Mucorales; Rhizopodaceae. The record is from RNAcentral.